GACGAACGCUGGCGGCGUGCUUAACACAUGCAAGUCGAACGGAAAGGCCCUGCUUUUGUGGGGUGCUCGAGUGGCGAACGGGUGAGUAACACGUGAGUAACCUGCCCUUGACUUUGGGAUAACUUCAGGAAACUGGGGCUAAUACCGGAUAGGAGCUCCUGCUGCAUGGUGGGGGUUGGAAAGUUUCGGCGGUUGGGGAUGGACUCGCGGCUUAUCAGCUUGUUGGUGGGGUAGUGGCUUACCAAGGCUUUGACGGGUAGCCGGCCUGAGAGGGUGACCGGCCACAUUGGGACUGAGAUACGGCCAGACUCCUACGGGAGGCAGCAGUGGGGAAUAUUGCACAAUGGGCGGAAGCCUGACGCAGCAACGCCGCGUGCGGGAUGACGGCCUUCGGGUUGUAAACCGCUUUCGCCUGUGACGAAGCGUGAGUGACGGUAAUGGGUAAAGAAGCACCGGCUAACUACGUG
This 467-nucleotide ribosomal RNA is filed under the name uncultured bacterium. RNAcentral describes it as "partial 16S ribosomal RNA". It matches the Rfam family "Bacterial small subunit ribosomal RNA", at positions 28 to 507 of the family's 1533-position model. The record is from RNAcentral.